Leucoraja erinaceus (little skate) is the source of this 1750-nucleotide long non-coding RNA. RefSeq lists it as uncharacterized. The record is from RefSeq and is a predicted model, not a curated record. The transcript has 5 exons. NCBI's taxonomy places the organism in Eukaryota, Metazoa, Chordata, Chondrichthyes, Rajiformes, Rajidae.
CCUCGGACGUUAGUUACAGGUCCCUCCAAUGGGCACGCGGCAGGCGCGGCGUUUGGCAGUUGGCGACGGCGCCUUUGCCGGACGAGGAAGGUCGAGCGUCCUUUUGGAGAGAGACGGUGUGGUGAGAGAAUGCCUCGUACACCAGCAGAACGUGCCAAGAGAUAUCGUGAUCGUCAGAAGAAUGACCCAGUGCUGAAAGCGCAGUAUUUAGAAAAAGAGCGGAAUUGCAAGAAAGCUACCUAUGCUCCAAUUGCAGAGAGACGCGAGCGGGAACAGAGAAAAAUAAGAAGAAUUUGGCGCACAAGUUCAAAGCAAUACCGUGCUCAUCACUGUGUCCAGCUUCCAGGCAGUCCACCAGUAACACCAGUGAUUUGAAAUGCUACAAAUCUGCCUCCACCAAUUCCACGACGACCAGUUGAUCAGAGGACCAAAAGAGGCUGUAUGAAGGUCAAGAGAGAUCUAGUCAAUAGACAACUAGAAGCCAUGAAGAAACAAUUAGAGGAACAAAAAAGACUGGCGGAGAGGUGGAAGACGAGAUACAACAGGGUGAAAGAACAGUUGCUUGACAGGAUGAAGGAUGAAUCAAUGCAGAUGGUAACUGGCUUCUUUAAACUAGAAGACGCCAGCCACUAAUGCCAGGCAUUAGACACGAUCACGAGAAACAAGAUAGAAGCAGAAACAGCUGUUAAAUGACCACUUGAGAGUUCUUCAUGCAAAGUUCCUGUGAGAAAAUGCAAUUGUGACAAUGCAUUGCUCUAUGUUCUAUAAGAUGAGGCCCUGGUGGGUAGUGAAACCAACAAUCAGCGACCUACUUGCAUGUGUAAGAGAUGUGCCAACAUGAACCUUAUGAAUAAGAAACUAGCUACGGAAAGAGUAACGACUACUGUUGAAUCAAUGAAGUUAACCAUUUGCCACGUCCAAAACAAAGCAUGUAUGUGUGUAUGGCUAGUGUGAAACAUGCCAGGGGGAACGAGUACAUUUCCAGCUGCCUGCAUGUCAAGGAAGUUGAAUAUCAGCAGUGGGUAACAAAGGAAAAGUGGUUUGGUGAUGGAAAAUCAACCAAUGUAACUGAAAGAGACUUUUAAACUUCCUCUCUCCAGUCCUCACUGUGGGAAAUAUGAAGCUGAGCUGAAACACCCCUAUACAACAUCGCUUCAACAUUUUCCAUAAGUAUGCAGAGCUUAGAAAGUUGAAGGCUAAUCUGGAUGGAAAGUCUGUUGUAGGGCACACCGACUUCUCUGAAAAUUAUGGCUGUAUCCUCAAAGGGUGAUGACUUUAUAGAGAUGGGCUGGAAGAUGUGUGUUAUAUGCCUGCAAAUUAUCCUGAUAAACAGGCCGGAAGCUUAAGAGUUGGUGCCUGAUUUCUUCAUAUGCUGUUGCCAUUGCCAACGAGACAGGCCACCACGUGAGCAACAUUUGAUAAACUGAUGUUGCUUGGAUGAUCUCCAAAAUUUGGUACAGCAAUUUUGAAGAAGGGCCCCGACCCGAAACAUCGCCUGAUCAUUCCUGUGUGUGACUUGCCGCGUUCUUCCAGUGUGUUUUGGUACAGCCAAUGAGUGGUUUGUUCAUAUGUCAUUAGGAGCAGAAUUGGGCCAUUCAGCCAGCCCAUCAAGCAUGGCUGAUCUACCAUUCCUCAACCCCAUUCUCCCGUCUUCUCCCCAUAACCCGUACUAAUCAAGAAUCUGUUAAACUGUUCAACAUGUUUGAUUUUUGUACUUGACAUUAAAGAAAAUCUGGUCUAAUUUACUGUU